This 200-nucleotide microRNA precursor is filed under the name Medicago truncatula (barrel medic). RNAcentral describes it as "MIR2670 microRNA precursor family". It matches the Rfam family "MIR2670 microRNA precursor family". The record is from Rfam by way of RNAcentral. Lineage: Eukaryota; Viridiplantae; Streptophyta; Magnoliopsida; Fabales; Fabaceae.
UCGGGGUAAAAUAGUGAGUAGCCGACAUGGGGAAGUGAUCAACCCUUGAGAUAAGUUUAAAUCUGUUUUUUUUACUCCAUAAACAUUUUAACGUGGGUAAAAAUAUUUGUCUUGGGGUAUAAAAAAAAACCAGAUUUAAAUUUAACUGAAGGGUUGAUGGUGUAUUUUCUCCAUGAAGGCUGCUCACUAUUUUACCCCAA